GAUGAACGCUGGCGGCGUGCCUAAUACAUGCAAGUCGAGCGAACGGACGAGAAGCUUGCUUCUCUGAUGUUAGCGGCGGACGGGUGAGUAACACGUGGAUAACCUACCUAUAAGACUGGGAUAACUUCGGGAAACCGGAGCUAAUACCGGAUAAUAUUUUGAACCGCAGGGUUCAAAAGUAAAAGACGGUCUUGCUGUCACUUAUAGAUGGAUCCGCGCUGCAUUAGCUAGUUGGUAAGGUAACGGCUUACCAAGGGAACGAUGCAUAGCCGACCUGAGAGGGUGAUCGGCCACCCUGGAACUGAGACACCGUCCAUACGCCUACGGGAGGCAGCAGUAGGGAAUCUUCCGCAAUGGGCGAAAGCCUGACGGAGCAACGCCGCGUGAGUGAUGAAGGUCUUCGGAUCGUAAAACUCUGUUACUAGUUAAGAACAUAUGUGUAAGUAACUGUGCACAGCUUGACGGUACCUAAUCAGAAAGCCACGGCUAACUACGUG
RNAcentral lists this ribosomal RNA (497 nucleotides) under uncultured bacterium. Its description in RNAcentral is "partial 16S ribosomal RNA". It matches the Rfam family "Bacterial small subunit ribosomal RNA", at positions 28 to 507 of the family's 1533-position model. The record is from RNAcentral.